AGAGUUUGAUCCUGGCUCAGGAUGAACGUUGGCGGCGUGCCUAAUACAUGCAAGUCGAACGGGAAGCACCCUUCGGGGUGUGGAGAGUGGCGCACGGGUGAGUAACACGUAGCUCAUCUACCCCAGAGGACGGGAUAACGCUCGGAAACGAGCGCUAAUACCGUAUAAGCUCACGGCAAGUAGGACACUGUGAGAAAAGCUCCGGCGCUCUGGGAUGAGGCUGCGGUCCAUCAGCUAGUUGGUGUGGUAACGGCGCACCAAGGCGACGACGGAUAGGGGACCUGAGAGGGUGACCCCCCACACUGGGACUGAGACACGGCCCAGACUCCUACGGGGGGCAGCAGUAAGGAAUAUUGCACAAUGGGCGCAAGCCUGAUGCAGCGACGCCGCGUGGGUGAUGAAGGUCUUCGGAUCGUAAAGCCCUUUUCUAUGUGACGAGCAAGGACGGUAGCAUAGGAAUAAGUGUCGGCUAACUACGUGCCAGCAGCCGCGGUAAAACGUAGGACGCAAACGUUAUCCGGAGUUACUGGGCGUAAAGCGCGCGCAGGCGGAGUGUUAAGUUGUUCAUGA
This 570-nucleotide ribosomal RNA is filed under the name uncultured bacterium. Its description in RNAcentral is "bacterial SSU rRNA". It matches the Rfam family "Bacterial small subunit ribosomal RNA", at positions 8 to 597 of the family's 1533-position model. The record is from RNAcentral.